GAGUUUGAUCUUGGCUCAGGAUGAACGCUGGCGGCGUGCUUAACACAUGCAAGUCGAACGAGGAAUUUUAAAUGAGACUUCGGUGGAUUUUAAAAUUCUUAGUGGCGGACGGGUGAGUAACGCGUGGGCAACCUGCCCUGUACAGGGGGGACGAACAGCUGGAAACGGCUGCUAAUACCGCAUAAGACCACGGAGCCGCAUGGCUCAGUGGGAAAAACGUACCGGUGGUACAGGAUGGGCCCGCGUUGGAUUAGGUAGUUGGUGAGGUAACGGCCCACCAAGCCGACGAUCCAUAGCCGA
This 300-nucleotide ribosomal RNA is filed under the name uncultured microorganism. Its description in RNAcentral is "bacterial SSU rRNA". It matches the Rfam family "Bacterial small subunit ribosomal RNA", at positions 9 to 290 of the family's 1533-position model. The record is from RNAcentral.